Molecule: ribosomal RNA, 472 nt
Filed under: uncultured bacterium
Lineage: Bacteria
Description: bacterial SSU rRNA
Rfam family: Bacterial small subunit ribosomal RNA
Source: RNAcentral
UGGGGAAUUUUGGACAAUGGGCGCAAGCCUGAUCCAGCCAUACCGCGUGAGUGAAGAAGGCCUUCGGGUUGUAAAGCUCUUUCAGACGGAAAGAAACGGUCGCGGCCAAUACCCGCGACUAAUGACGGUACCGUAAGAAGAAGCACCGGCUAACUACGUGCCAGCAGCCGCGGUAAUACGUAGGGUGCGAGCGUUAAUCGGAAUUACUGGGCGUAAAGCGUGCGCAGGCGGCUUUGCAAGACAGAUGUGAAAUCCCCGGGCUCAACCUGGGAACUGCAUUUGUGACUGCAAGGCUAGAGUACGGUAGAGGGGGAUGGAAUUCCGCGUGUAGCAGUGAAAUGCGUAGAUAUGCGGAGGAACACCGAUGGCGAAGGCAAUCCCCUGGACCUGUACUGACGCUCAUGCACGAAAGCGUGGGGAGCAAACAGGAUUAGAUACCCUAGUAGUCCCUGAGCGGGCUGGCAAGGCGCAU